Molecule: ribosomal RNA, 253 nt
Filed under: uncultured bacterium
Lineage: Bacteria
Description: partial 16S ribosomal RNA
Rfam family: Bacterial small subunit ribosomal RNA
Source: RNAcentral
UACGUAGGGCGCAAGCGUUGUCCGGAAUCAUUGGGCGUAAAGCGCGCGUAGGCGGCCUCGUACGUCCGCUGUGAAAGUCAAAGGCUCAACCUUUGAAAGCCGGUGGAUACUGUGAGGCUAGAGUACGGAAGAGGCGAGUGGAAUUCCUGGUGUAGCGGUGGAAUGCGUAGAUAUCUGGAGGAAUACCGGUGGCGAAGGCGGCAUCCUGGACCGACAUUGACGCUGAGGAGCGAAAGCCAGGGGAGCAAACGGG